Long non-coding RNA from Oncorhynchus masou masou (cherry salmon), 247 nucleotides. RefSeq lists it as uncharacterized. The transcript has 3 exons. Lineage: Eukaryota; Metazoa; Chordata; Actinopteri; Salmoniformes; Salmonidae. The record is from RefSeq and is a predicted model, not a curated record.
AGACCAAGAGGACCAAGAGAAACAAAGUGGAGCAGAUCACUGAUACAGAUGCAGUUCAGGGGACAUCUCACCAGGGACAAUCUAAUGAAAAGAUCCUAAGUGAGUGUGUCUCCAGGGCCUGUCAGACCAGGGCUCUUGACCUCCCACCAAUCGAUCCGGAUGCUUUCAACCCGAUUAUCAUCCGGUUUCUGGAAAAACUUACUGAGGAGCAAUGGAGGCAGUUAAGCAUUGGCAGGAUGGACCCUGU